AUGACUAAAUCUCAUCUGGUUAGAGGAAUUCAAAAUCCGUUGCCGAAAGGCGUGGCGGUUCGAGUCCGCCUACUGGUACCA
Molecule: transfer RNA, 81 nt
Filed under: Marinomonas sp. TW1
Lineage: Bacteria; Pseudomonadati; Pseudomonadota; Gammaproteobacteria; Oceanospirillales; Oceanospirillaceae
Description: tRNA-OTHER
Source: RNAcentral